This is a small nuclear RNA of Dromiciops gliroides (monito del monte), 107 nucleotides long. NCBI's taxonomy places the organism in Eukaryota, Metazoa, Chordata, Mammalia, Microbiotheria, Microbiotheriidae. The record is from RefSeq and is a predicted model, not a curated record.
GUGCUCACUUCAGCAGCACAUAUACUAAAAUUGGUACAAUACCAAGAAGAUUAGCAUGGCCCCUGUGCAAGGAUGACAAGCAAAUCUGUGAAGCAUUCCAUGUUUUA